CCUACGGGAGGCUGCAGUGGGGAAUAUUGCACAAUGGGCGCAAGCCUGAUGCAGCCAUGCCGCGUGUGUGAAGAAGGCCUUCGGGUUGUAAAGCACUUUCAGCGGGGAGGAAGGCGGUGAGGUUAAUAACCUCAUCGAUUGACGUUACCCGCAGAAGAAGCACCGGCUAACUCCGUGCCAGCAGCCGCGGUAAUACGGAGGGUGCAAGCGUUAAUCGGAAUCACUGGGCGUAAAGCGCACGCAGGCGGUCUGUCAAGUCGGAUGUGAAAUCCCCGGGCUCAACCUGGGAACUGCAUUCGAAACUGGCAGGCUAGAGUCUUGUAGAGGGGGGUAGAAUUCCAGGUGUAGCGGUGAAAUGCGUAGAGAUCUGGAGGAAUACCGGUGGCGAAGGCGGCCCCCUGGACAAAGACUGACGCUCAGGUGCGAAAGCGUGGGGAGCAAACAGGAUUAGAUACCCGAGUAGUC
RNAcentral lists this ribosomal RNA (465 nucleotides) under uncultured Klebsiella sp. Its description in RNAcentral is "bacterial SSU rRNA". It matches the Rfam family "Bacterial small subunit ribosomal RNA", at positions 338 to 795 of the family's 1533-position model. Lineage: Bacteria; Pseudomonadati; Pseudomonadota; Gammaproteobacteria; Enterobacterales; Enterobacteriaceae. The record is from RNAcentral.